GGGCAUUUGGUCUAGUGGUAUGAUUCUCGCUUUGGGUGCGAGAGGUCCCGAGUUCAAUUUUCAGGAAUACCCC
Picea glauca (white spruce) is the source of this 73-nucleotide non-coding RNA. Lineage: Eukaryota; Viridiplantae; Streptophyta; Pinopsida; Pinales; Pinaceae. The record is from Rfam.